CGACGGGUGAGUAACGCGUGGAUAACCUGCCUUUCACAGGGGGAUAACAGCUGGAAACGGCUGCUAAUACCGCAUGAGCCUCUUUUGUCGCAUGAGAAGAGAGGGAAAGAGAAAUCGGUGAGAGAUGGAUCCGCGUCCGAUUAGCUAGUUGGAGGGGUAACAGCCCACCAAGGCGACGAUCGGUAGCCGACCUGAGAGGGUGGACGGCCACAUUGGGACUGAGACACGGCCCAAACUCCUACGGGAGGCAGCAG
Molecule: ribosomal RNA, 254 nt
Filed under: uncultured bacterium
Lineage: Bacteria
Description: partial 16S ribosomal RNA
Rfam family: Bacterial small subunit ribosomal RNA
Source: RNAcentral